UCUCCGUUGGUGAACCAGCGGAAGGAUCAUUACAGAGUUGCAAAACUCCCAAACCAUUGUGAACGUUACCUAUCCCGUUGCUUCGGCGGGCGGCCCGGGCCCCGCGCCCGGCGCCCCCCGGCCCCCCGUGGGUGCCCGCCGGAGGUAAACCAAACCCUUGAAUUGCAUGGCCUCUCUGAGUCUUCUGUACUGAAUAAGUCAAAACUUUCAACAACGGAUCUCUUGGUUCUG
RNAcentral lists this unclassified non-coding RNA (231 nucleotides) under plant metagenome. Its description in RNAcentral is "partial contains small subunit ribosomal RNA, internal transcribed spacer 1, and 5.8S ribosomal RNA". The record is from RNAcentral.